CGCUUAUUUGUCUGUAAUUUCAAUAUUAGUCUAAUUUAAAUCUGAUUGAAUCUAGACCGUUCAUUGUUUUUGGGCAGUGUGAUAAGAAAUCAGUCCGUCCAUAUUUUGUAAUCUUAUUCUCUCUGCUGAUCAUCAUUCUUCCUCUCGCUCUCUCAACAUCCCGAAAACCCCCAACCCCAGCCACGAACCCAGGUACACCCAAAACAAUCACCAUUCUCAUCCCUUCGACCUCACGAACUCAAGUCUGAGCCCAUUCUUACUUUCUAGGUCAAGAUUUUGUGGCUUUCAUGUACGAUUUGGUGAAGGUUUGAAAAAGAUUGAAGCUCAAUCCGUUACCUAGAUUCCGGCGAGGUUUUCCGGCAAAUCCGCUAGCUUCCCUGUAUUUUUUGAGGCCCUCACAGUCAUCCAAUCACCAAAUCUUAGGUAUGUUUUGAUUCUUUAAAAUUCUAAAAUUUUGACAAUCGUUAUUUAAUUCAUCAAAUUUUGCACUAUAAAUGAUGUAAGAGUUAGUCUUCAGGGGUUUAAGAGAAGGGUGGUUUUACAUGAGUUUACAUCUGAAUCCGACCGCCUCUUAUUUCCCCCUUCACUUUCACGGUUCCACCCCAACAUCAUCGAUCUGUGUUCGUGUAGGUCAUUUCAAAGGGAUUUCAAGCUGGGUAGCAGAGAUUUGAUUCAAAUUUGUGGAUUUGGGAUGGUAACAACCCCCCGGCGGCUAAUCGCUGUACAUCACACGCCGACUUACCACCAGUGCAUCCGCGUCGUUUCGGAUAACUGUAUUUACGGAAGGUAAGCAAUUUAUUCUACUUUAGAUUUCAAAGAUUUUUGUGCAAAUUAAAGUUAUCUUCUGGGGAUUGUUCUGGAGAUGCAAGAUUUGAAGUAAGAUUUGAAGUAAGAGAGAGAGAAAUAGGGAAAUUAAUAAAGAAAAGAAAGCACAUAGGUAAAACCCCAACAAGAUUAUGUACAGAGGUAAUUGCGAAAUAUUUAGUGGUGCGGCAAAUAUUUCUUGGCUAAAUUGGGAGAGUUAUAUUUUAUUUAAGUUUUUAUUUUUAUUUUUAUAGCUUUUGGUAAAGAUUAAGUUUAUGGUAUUUUUGAUCUUCAGAGGCCUAGAGGCUGAUGAGAGCCUAUUACCAAUCUGCUACUACUCUAAACCUUUUCAGGGCGUUUGCCUUUAUAAGUGACUAAGCAGAGGGUCACGUAGCAGAACUUGGAUUUCAUAGAUCACAGAGAGCAGGGUGAUAGUUCAUCGUUGUCAUCCAAGAUGGAGGAGUUACGUAUAUGGGUGUCUUUAGUAGAACAAAUCUUACUUUUUGAGCUUUGUACAGUUUUAGACGUAAAAGUCUCCUUGGGAUAGGACCAUAGCUUUUGAAAAACAAUCCCUAAGGAUGACAUACUAACAUCCUCAACUUUUUACAUGUAAUAUAUGAAUGUAAAUAGAACUCUCUGGCUAUGGCGUACGACCAUCCCAAUUUUUCUCAUGUAUAUAAGCCCUACUUUUUACACGUUUAAGAUCAUUUUGAAACCCGCAGCAUCACGCGGGCCUCA
Non-coding RNA from Malus domestica (apple), 1542 nucleotides. The record is from RefSeq and is a predicted model, not a curated record. NCBI's taxonomy places the organism in Eukaryota, Viridiplantae, Streptophyta, Magnoliopsida, Rosales, Rosaceae.